UAGCCUCUUCGACCACCUCCUACUCCUCUCUAUCUUUGUCUUCCUCUUUCUCUAGCUCUCCCUGCCUCCAUGCUCGCAAAGUUCUCAAAAUCGCUCAACUGAGGCCUAUUUGUGGUGGCUGGCUGAUUGGUGUUCAGUUUUGUUCUGGGGGCCUUCAGACGGACAGGAAGUCGACCCCCUUCCUCUUGUUCCCACCUCUGGGAUCGGGGUUCUCCCCACGGAACCCAGAGAACCGCUGCACGGCGGCAACAGGGGUCCUCCAUCAGAAAGAAAAACGAUUGGCCACAGGAGAUCUUCGUCACAUCAGAAAGAAAAAACGAUUGGCCACAGGAGAUCUUCGUCACAUCAGAAAGAAAAAACGAUUGGCCACAGGAGAUCUUCGUCACAUCAGAAAGAAAAACGAUUGGCCACAGGAGAUCUUCGUCACAUCAGAAAGAAAAAACAGAAAAGAAAAGAAAAGACAUUCGACCACAAAAGACCAAAACAGUGUAGAAGUGUUAGUAGGUAUAAGUAGAACUCUUGAUCCCGUGAGGGGAAUUUGGUCUCUGCAUUUAUCCCAGUCUGUGAAUUAGU
This is a long non-coding RNA of Alosa alosa (allis shad), 573 nucleotides long. RefSeq lists it as uncharacterized. The transcript has 3 exons. Lineage: Eukaryota; Metazoa; Chordata; Actinopteri; Clupeiformes; Clupeidae. The record is from RefSeq and is a predicted model, not a curated record.